Molecule: ribosomal RNA, 253 nt
Filed under: uncultured bacterium
Lineage: Bacteria
Description: partial 16S ribosomal RNA
Rfam family: Bacterial small subunit ribosomal RNA
Source: RNAcentral
UACGGAAGGGGCUAGCGUUGUUCGGAAUUACUGGGCGUAAAGAGCGCGUAGGCGGCUUACCAAGUUGGGGGUGAAAUCCCGGAGCUCAACUCCGGAACCGCCUUCAAAACUGGUAGGCUCGAGUCCGGAAGAGGGGCGUGGAAUUCCCAGUGUAGAGGUGAAAUUCGUAGAUAUUGGGAAGAACACCGGUGGCGAAGGCUGCGCCCUGGUCCGGUACUGACCCUGCGGCGCGAAAGCGUGGGGACCAAACAGG